RNAcentral lists this ribosomal RNA (478 nucleotides) under uncultured bacterium. RNAcentral describes it as "partial 16S ribosomal RNA". It matches the Rfam family "Bacterial small subunit ribosomal RNA", at positions 28 to 523 of the family's 1533-position model. The record is from RNAcentral.
GACGAACGCUGGCGGCGUGCUUAACACAUGCAAGUCGAACGGUAAGGCCCUUCGGGGUACACGAGUGGCGAACGGGUGAGUAACACGUGGGUGAUCUGCCCUGCACUUCGGGAUAAGCCUGGGAAACUGGGUCUAAUACCGGAUAGGACCACUGCCUGCAUGGGUGGUGGUGGAAAGCUUUUGCGGGUGGGGCUGGGCCCGCGGCCUAUCAGCUUGUUGGUGGGGUGAUGGCCUACCAAGGCGACGCCGGGUAGCCGGCCUGAGAGGGUGACCGGGCACACUGGGACUGAGGUACAGCCCAGACGCCUACGGGAGGCAGCAGUGGGGAAUAUUGCACAAUGGGCGAAAGCCUGAUGCAGCGACGCCGCGUGAGGGAUGACGGCCUUCGGGUUGUAAACCUCUUUCAGCACCGACGAAGCGCAAGUGACGGUAGGUGCAGAAGAAGGACCGGCCAACUACGUGCCAGCAGCCGCUGUAA